Molecule: unclassified non-coding RNA, 328 nt
Filed under: soil metagenome
Description: partial contains 5.8S ribosomal RNA, internal transcribed spacer 2, and large subunit ribosomal RNA
Rfam family: 5.8S ribosomal RNA (bases 1-119)
Source: RNAcentral
GAUGAAGAACGUAGCGAAAUGCGAUACGUAAUGUGAAUUGCAAAUUCAGUGAAUCAUCGAGUCUUUGAACGCACAUUGCGCCCCCUGGUAUUCCGGGGGGCAUGCCUGUCCGAGCGUCAUUACAACCCUCAAGCUCAGCUUGGUGUUGGGCCCCGCCGCCCCGGCGGGCCCUAAAGUCAGUGGCGGUGCCGUCCGGCUCCGAGCGUAGUAAUUCUUCUCGCUCUGGAGGUCCGGUCGUGUGCUCGCCAGCAACCCCCAAUUUUUUUCAGGUUGACCUCGGAUCAGGUAGGGAUACCCGCUGAACUUAAGCAUAUCAAUAAGCGGAGGA